CCGAAAUUAGACGAUUUGGAAGCGGGAGAGGAAAGGGAUACGGAAGAAGAGAGUGUUGUUGAGUGUCCAGUAGAUAAUGAGGGAGAGGUUGCUGUUGAGAUGG
Molecule: non-coding RNA, 103 nt
Filed under: Paramoeba aestuarina
Lineage: Eukaryota; Discosea; Flabellinia; Dactylopodida; Paramoebidae
Source: RNAcentral